GCCGCGCGAGCGCAUACCCCCUCUACCAUAAAUUUUGACGUCCAUUCUCCCAAUUGGGGAGAUGAUAGACCAACAUGCUCGCCAAGUGCAAUGUGAGCCAUUGAUCUAGGCCACGACCCUUCUUGA
RNAcentral lists this ribosomal RNA (126 nucleotides) under Triticum aestivum (bread wheat). Its description in RNAcentral is "partial small subunit ribosomal RNA". The record is from RNAcentral. Lineage: Eukaryota; Viridiplantae; Streptophyta; Magnoliopsida; Poales; Poaceae.